CCUACGGGUGGCAGCAGUCGAGAAUCAUUCACAAUGGGGGAAACCCUGAUGGUGCGACGCCGCGUGGGGGAAUGAAGGUCUUCGGAUUGUAAACCCCUGUCAUGUGGGAGCAAAUUAAAAAGAUCGUACCACAAGAGGAAGAGACGGCUAACUCUGUGCCAGCAGCCGCGGUAAUACAGAGGUCUCAAGCGUUGUUCGGAAUCACUGGGCGUAAGGCGUGCGUAGGCUGUUUCGUAAGUCGUGUGUGAAAGGCGCGGGCUCAACCCGCGGACGGCACAUGAUACUGCGAGACUAGAGUAAUGGAGGGGGAACUGGAAUUCUCGGUGUAGCAGUGAAAUGCGUAGAUAUCGAGAGGAACACUCGUGGCGAAGGCGGGUUCCUGGACAUUAACUGACGCUGAGGCACGAAGGCCAGGGGAGCGAAAGGGAUUAGAUACCCGUGUAGUC
This 446-nucleotide ribosomal RNA is filed under the name uncultured bacterium. Its description in RNAcentral is "partial 16S ribosomal RNA". It matches the Rfam family "Bacterial small subunit ribosomal RNA", at positions 338 to 795 of the family's 1533-position model. The record is from RNAcentral.